GACGAACGCUGGCGGCGUGCCUAAUACAUGCAAGUCGAACGCAGUGGGGACGGGUGAGUAACACGUGGGUAACCUCCCAUCAGAGGGGAUAACACUUGGAAACAGGUGCUAAACCGAUACUGAUUGAUGGACCCGCGGUGCAUUAGCUAGUUGGUGGGGUAACGGCUAACCAAGGCCACGAUGCAUAGCCGACCGGAGAGGGUGAUCAGCAACACUGGGAAUGAGACACGGUCCAGACUCCUACGGGAGGCAGCAGUAGGGAAUCUUGGACAAUGGACGAAAGUCUGACCGAGCAACGCCGCGUGAGUGAAGAAGGUUUUCGGAUUGUAAAGUACUGUUGUCAGAGAAGCGGUAUCUAACCAGAAAGCCACGGCUAACUACGUGCCAGCAGCCGCGGUAAUAC
RNAcentral lists this ribosomal RNA (403 nucleotides) under uncultured bacterium. RNAcentral's name for it is "partial 16S ribosomal RNA". It matches the Rfam family "Bacterial small subunit ribosomal RNA", at positions 28 to 526 of the family's 1533-position model. The record is from RNAcentral.